Molecule: long non-coding RNA, 133 nt
Filed under: Ictidomys tridecemlineatus (thirteen-lined ground squirrel)
Lineage: Eukaryota; Metazoa; Chordata; Mammalia; Rodentia; Sciuridae
Description: lncRNA (ENSSTOG00000032370.1)
Source: RNAcentral
GUUGCCUGGCUCCAUUCACCACCUCCAGGAUCCUGUCAGCCAGGAGCACUCACAUCAGAUGCAAGUGCCCCUCUUGGAGAAUAAAAUGAAUGAAGAGCUAUCGCAGCAGUAGAGGGACCUGAUGGAUGGAGAG